CAAGGGGAAGCCGAAAACCUAAAAAGAGUAGGCA
RNAcentral lists this non-coding RNA (34 nucleotides) under unclassified sequences. RNAcentral describes it as "DUF805b RNA". It matches the Rfam family "DUF805b RNA". Rfam says of the family: Bacteroidetes, Chlorobi (1 example), Proteobacteria. The record is from RNAcentral.